UGGGGAAUAUUGCACAAUGGGCGGAAGCCUGAUGCAGCGACGCCGCGUGGGGGAUGACGGCCUUCGGGUUGUAAACUCCUUUCACCAUCGACGAAGGUUUUCUGACGGUAGAUGGAGAAGAAGCACCGGCUAACUACGUG
Molecule: ribosomal RNA, 140 nt
Filed under: uncultured compost bacterium
Lineage: Bacteria
Description: partial 16S rRNA
Rfam family: Bacterial small subunit ribosomal RNA
Source: RNAcentral